GUGGCGACGUAGCUUUUGCGGCGGAACAUCUGAGGGAAACUGGGCCUAAUAGGGGAUAGCCGCUGUCUGGGAAAGAUGUAUCGCCCAAAGAGGGGCCCGCGUCUGAUUAGCUAGUUGGUGAGGUAAUGGCUCACCGAGGCGACGGUCAGUAUCUGGUCUGAGAGGAUGAUCGGCCGCGUUGGGACUGAGACACGGCCCAAACUCC
RNAcentral lists this ribosomal RNA (205 nucleotides) under uncultured Rhodopseudomonas sp. Its description in RNAcentral is "partial 16S ribosomal RNA". It matches the Rfam family "Bacterial small subunit ribosomal RNA", at positions 117 to 339 of the family's 1533-position model. Lineage: Bacteria; Pseudomonadati; Pseudomonadota; Alphaproteobacteria; Hyphomicrobiales; Nitrobacteraceae. The record is from RNAcentral.